AAUAGAGGAACUCAGACUAAGAACUUCACAUCCUGCAAAAAACGCCUGAGUGGCCGACAUCGUGUCGG
Molecule: small RNA, 68 nt
Filed under: Lysinibacillus sp. AC-3
Lineage: Bacteria; Bacillati; Bacillota; Bacilli; Caryophanales; Bacillaceae
Description: Bacillaceae-1 RNA
Rfam family: Bacillaceae-1 RNA
Source: RNAcentral